RNAcentral lists this ribosomal RNA (440 nucleotides) under uncultured bacterium. RNAcentral describes it as "partial 16S ribosomal RNA". It matches the Rfam family "Bacterial small subunit ribosomal RNA", at positions 338 to 795 of the family's 1533-position model. The record is from RNAcentral.
CCUACGGGAGGCAGCAGUAGGGAAUCUUCCACAAUGGACGAAAGUCUGAUGGAGCAACGCCGCGUGAGUGAAGAAGUAUUUCGGUAUGUAAAGCUCUAUCAGCAGGGAAGAAAAUGACGGUACCUGACUAAGAAGCCCCGGCUAACUACGUGCCAGCAGCCGCGGUAAUACGUAGGGGGCAAGCGUUAUCCGGAUUUACUGGGUGUAAAGGGAGCGUAGACGGCCAGACAAGUCAGAAGUGAAAGCCCAGGGCUCAACCCUGGGACUGCUUUUGAAACUGCCGGGCUGGAGUGCAGGAGAGGUAAGCGGAAUUCCUAGUGUAGCGGUGAAAUGCGUAGAUAUUAGGAGGAACACCAGUGGCGAAGGCGGCUUACUGGACUGUAACUGACGUUGAGGCUCGAAAGCGUGGGGAGCAAACAGGAUUAGAUACCCGUGUAGUC